Molecule: ribosomal RNA, 920 nt
Filed under: uncultured bacterium
Lineage: Bacteria
Description: bacterial SSU rRNA
Rfam family: Bacterial small subunit ribosomal RNA
Source: RNAcentral
CAAUACCAUAGUGGCGCACGGGUGCGUAACGCGUNACCAACCUACCCAUCACUGGGGGAUAGCCCGCCGAAAGGCGGAUUAAUACCGCAUAACAUCAGGUGGCGGCAUCGUCUCUUGAUUAAAGAUUUAUUGGUGGUGGAUGGGGUUGCGUGCCAUUAGCUAGUUGGGGGGGUAACGGCCCACCAAGGCGACGAUGGCUAGGGGAGCUGAGAGGCUGGUCCCCCACACGGGCACUGAGAUACGGGCCCGACUCCUACGGGAGGCAGCAGUAGGGAAUAUUGGGCAAUGGCCGAGAGGCUGACCCAGCCAUGCCGCGUGCAGGACGAAGGCUUUCUGAGUCGUAAACUGCUUUUGCCAGGGAAGAAUAAGGGGGAUGCGUCCUCCGACGACGGUACCUGGUGAAUAAGCACCGGCUAACUCCGUGCCAGCAGCCGCGGUAAUACGGAGGGUGCAAGCGUUGUCCGGAUUUAUUGGGUUUAAAGGGUGCGUAGGCGGCUUUUUAAGUCUGGGGUGAAAGCCCGUUGCUCAACAACGGUACUGCCCUGGAAACUGGAGAGCUUGAGUACAGACGAGGGCGGCGGAAUGGACGGUGUAGCGGUGAAAUGCAUAGAUACCGUCCAGAACCCCGAUUGCGAAGGCAGCUGCCUAGACUGUAACUGACGCUGAGGCACGAAAGCGUGGGGAGCGAACAGGAUUAGAUACCCUGGUAGUCCACGCCGUAAACGAUGGAUACUCGCUGCCGGCGCUACACUGUCGGUGGCUUAGCGAAAGCGUUAAGUAUCCCACCUGGGGAGUACGCCCGCAAGGGUGAAACUCAAAAGAAUUGACGGGGGCCCGCACAAGUGGUGGAGCAUGUGGUUUAAUUCGAUGAUACGCGAGGAACCUUACCUAGGCUAGAAUGCGCGUGACCGGUUCANANA